Molecule: ribosomal RNA, 1394 nt
Filed under: uncultured Fusibacter sp.
Lineage: Bacteria; Bacillati; Bacillota; Clostridia; Eubacteriales; Fusibacteraceae
Description: partial 16S ribosomal RNA
Rfam family: Bacterial small subunit ribosomal RNA
Source: RNAcentral
AGAGUUUGAUUAUGGCUCAGGAUGAACGCUGGCGGCGUGCCUAACACAUGCAAGUCGAGCGCGAUUAAGUGGAACGGAGACUUCGGUCAAAGAGAAACUUAUGAAAGCGGCGGACGGGUGAGUAACGCGUGGGUAACCUGCCCCAUACAAAGGGAUAGCCACUGGAAACGGUGAUUAAUACCUUAUAAGUCGGUAGUCCCGCAUGAGACAGCCGACAAAGAUUUAUCGGUAUGGGAUGGACCCGCGUCUGAUUAGCUAGUUGGUGAGGUAACGGCUCACCAAGGCGACGAUCAGUAGCCGACCUGAGAGGGUGAUCGGCCACACUGGAACUGAGACACGGUCCAGACUCCUACGGGAGGCAGCAGUGGGGAAUAUUGCACAAUGGGCGCAAGCCUGAUGCAGCAACGCCGCGUGAGUGAUGAAGGCUUUCGGGUCGUAAAACUCUGUCCUAUGGGAAGAAAAAAAUGACGGUACCAUAGGAGGAAGCCCCGGCUAACUACGUGCCAGCAGCCGCGGUAAUACGUAGGGGGCAAGCGUUAUCCGGAAUCACUGGGCGUAAAGGGUGCGUAGGUGGCUUAUCAAGCCAGGGGUGAAAGGCAUUGGCUCAACCAAUGUAAGCCUUUGGAACUGAUAGGCUUGAGUGCAGGAGAGGUAAGUGGAAUUCCUAGUGUAGGGGUGAAAUCCGUAGAUAUCAGAAGGAACACCAGUGGCGAAGGCGACUUACUGGACUGUAACUGACGCUGAGACGCGAAAGCGUGGGGAGCAAACAGGAUUAGAUACCCUGGUAGUCCACGCCCUAAACGAUGUACACUAGUUGUUGCCUUGCUAGACAAGGCAGUAAUGCACCUAACGGAUUAAGUGUACCGCCUGGGGAGUACGGUCGCAAGAUUAAAACUCAAAGGAAUAGACGGGGACCCGCACAAGCGGUGGAGCAUGUGGUUUAAUUCGACGAUACGCGAAGAACCUUACCUGGCCUUGACAUACUAAAAAGCUUUAAGAGAUUAGAGUGUGCUAGCUUGCUAGAAUUUAGAUACAGGUGCUGCACGGCUGUCGUCAGCUCGUGUCGUGAGAUGUUGGGUUAAGUCCCGCAACGAGCGCAACCCUCGUGUUUAGUUGCUAACAGUUCGGCUGAGAACUCUAAACAGGCUGCCUACGCAAGUAGGAGGAAGGUGAGGACGACGUCAAGUCAUCAUGGCCCUUACGGCCAGGGCUACACACGUGCUACAAUGGGGUAUACAAAGAGCAGCGAUACGGUGACGUGGAGCAAAUCUAGAAAAUGCCUCUCAGUUCGGAUUGUAGUCUGCAACUCGACUACAUGAAGUUGGAAUCGCUAGUAAUCGUAGAUCAGCAAUGCUACGGUGAAUACGUUCCCGGGUCUUGUACACACCCCCGUC